This 309-nucleotide ribosomal RNA is filed under the name Triticum aestivum (bread wheat). Its description in RNAcentral is "partial small subunit ribosomal RNA". Lineage: Eukaryota; Viridiplantae; Streptophyta; Magnoliopsida; Poales; Poaceae. The record is from RNAcentral.
AUGGUGGCCUUAAAGGAGAUUUUAAAUAGUUAUGAAGCGGCUUCGGGGCGACGUGUGAAUUUACAGAAAUCCUCAAUAUUUUUUGGCAAGGGGUGUGGAGAGAAUACAAAGGCAGAGUUGAAGAGUGCACUUGGAAUUGAUUCAGAAGCUCUGAGUGAACGCUAUCUUGGGCUGCCAACACUGGUUGGUCGUUCAAAGGAGGGCACUUUCAAGUAUGUGACGGAAAGUUCCAAGUCAAAAGUGAGUGGCUAUAAGGGCCAAGGUUUGUCCAAAGCGGCGAAGGAGGUUUUGGUGAGAUCCGAACUCUAA